This 3346-nucleotide long non-coding RNA is filed under the name Homo sapiens (human). Its description in RNAcentral is "LHRI_LNC157.1". The record is from RNAcentral. Lineage: Eukaryota; Metazoa; Chordata; Mammalia; Primates; Hominidae.
GCGUGGUGGCAGGUGUCUGUAGUCCCGGCUACUCGGGAGGCUGAGGCAGGAGAAUGGCAUGAACCCAGGAGGCGGGGCUUGCAGUGAGCUGACAUAGAGCCACUAUGGUCCGGCCUGGGCAAAAGAGUGAGACUCUGUCUCAAAAAAAAAAAAAAAAAAAAAGAAAAAGUGUGAACUAGCUGGGCACAGUGGCUCAUGCCUGUAAUCCCAGCACUUUGGGAGGCCAAGGUGAGAAAAUGGAUUGAGCCCAGAAGUUCAAGACCAGCCUGGGCAACAUAGCGAGACCCCCGUUUCUACAAAUAAUUUAAAAAUUGGCUGGGCAUGGUGAUGCAUGUCUGUGGACCCAGCUACUCAGGAGGCUGAGGCAGGAGAAUCACUUGAACCCAGGCAGUCAAAGCUGCAGUGAGCUGCAAUCAAACCACUGCACUCCAGCCUGAGCAAUAGAGUGAGACCCUGCCUCAGACCAAAAAAAAAAAAAAAAAAGUGUGAACCUUUGGGCCUGAUGUGGAGACUGAAGCUUAUUCCUGGCGCCCUUUCUUCCUUUCUGUUUUUAUUCUUUGCACGCUGAGGUUGACAGAAAGCCCGGGCAGAGGCUGCUGGCCGGCUCUUGGGAAGGGCAGGCCACUUUUGUACUUUAAUGGCAUUAUGUUUUUGAUUUUUUUUUUUUUUUUUUUUUUUUUUUUUGAGACAGAGUCUCGCUCUGUCACCAGGCUGGAGGGCAGUGGCGCAAUCUUGGCUCACCGCAACCUCCACCUCCUGGGUUCAAAUGAUUCUCCUGCCUCAGUCUCCUGAAUAGCUGGGAUUACAGGUGUGCACUGCCACGUCCGGCUAAUUUUUGUAUUUUUAGCAGAGACAGAGUUUCAUAUGUUGGCCAGGCUGGUCUCAAACUCAUGACCUCAGGUGAUCCACCCACCUCUGCCUCCUAAAAUGCUGGGAUUAUAGGCGUGAGCCUCCAUGCCUGGUGGGUUUUUUUGUUUUGUUUUGUUUUUUUGUUUUGAGUUGGGGUCUCACUCUGUUGCUCAGGCUGGAGUGCAGUGGCAUGACCACAGCUCACUGCAGCCUCAACCUCCUGGGCUCAAGUGAUCCUCCUGCCUCAGCCUCCUAAGUAGCUGGGCCUACCAGCACGUGCCACCACACUCAGCUGUUUGGAUUUUUAGUAGAGACUGGGGUCUUGCUUGUUGGCCAGGCUGGUCCUGAACCCCUGGCUUGAAGUGAUCCUCCCACCUCAAUCUCCCAAAGUGCUGGGAUUACAGGCGUGGCUCCUGCACUGGCCCCUGCUGACACCUGGAUUUUGGACUUCUGGCCUCUAGUCUGUGGUCUGUGGGACUUUGUACAGAUAAGUCAAAAGGCAGAAGCUGAAUGUGAAUGCCCAUGCUAUUGUUUAUAAAAUCACCCCUCCUCCUUUUCUAACUCCCGCAGCCCACCCUCUUCCCCCAGCCCAGACCGUCCUUGCAGACCUUCACCCUGUCCUACCUGUGUGGGUGCGGACAUGGCCCUGCAGUAACCAGGGCCUGGAGAAGGCCUUGCCACAGAUCUUGCAGGUGCAGGGCAGCGUGUGAGUGCGGAUGUGCAUCUUGAGGGCACCCAGGCUGGUGUACUCCUUGUCGCAGUACUUGCAGGUGAAGACACGCCCCACCUGCAGGUGGCAGUGCAGCUGCCGGUGCCUGGCCAGCCCGGCCAGCGUGUGGUAGGGUUUGUGGCAGUGGAAGCACUCAAAGCCGCCCGGGGCUCGGGGCAUCCGCUCAGCCCCAAGCAGUUUUUCCGGAGCCCCGUGCCGGUCUGGGCCCAAGGUCGGGGACCACCGUGUGGGCAGCACCAGCAGUGGGGGCAGGUUGAGGUGGUUCAGGCUGUCUUUGAGGGGUACAAUGGCGGCCCGGCUGGCCCGAGGGUCGACCUCGCUGACUUCCAAGGCGUCCAGCCCAGAGGCCCCCAGAGCUUCCUCGAUCCGUGGCAGGAGGGGCAGGGAGAUGCAGGCGACGGCCGAGGAGCGGUCCCAGGGCUGGGGAAGGUCACCGGGCACAGAAGGGGCCUCCUUGUCUCGGGGGAGGAGGGGCACCACCAGCCCCCCACAGGCAGAGCAGGCACCAUUGAUUUCUAGAGGGGUGGAGGGGAGAGAAUAGAAAGAUGAAGACUGAAUCCCCAGCACUUUGUGUUUUCCAACUCUGAUUCGUGGACCCAGUCACAGCCCAUCAGCAGCCUGGCGUGGGAGGUGUAGCCGGGAACCUGCAUGCAGACCCAGCUUGCAAGGGAGCUGGCGGUGCUGUGCAGGGAAGUGACAGCGUGGCCAGGAGUGGAGUCAUCUAGAACAAGAAGGCCCCGCGGUCUAGAGAGCGAAUCUCACUUCCUCUUUAAACACAAAGAAACAUCUGACGGGACCCUUUGUGUUCAGGAACAUGAAACAGGCCUCGUGGGUAAAGGAGGGCCCUUUACGCCUCGGCUGGGCAGGACCCUCUGAUGAGCCCCACCCACCUCUGGAGGGGUCCCAGCCUGGGCCGGCAUCCUCCAGGUGCCCAUGCAGCAGCCAUCAGUCAGACGCUUGGCAGCAAGGUGCCGGCUGAGUGUAAAAUCAGCCCACUCAUAACUAAUCACCCUCCAGUCACCCCACAGUCGCCCCUCGGGCAUCUCCUUUUGUGGAUAACGAGGCAGUGAGCUCAGAAGCCUCCCUGGCCGCUGACCAGUGCCCACUCUACUGUGCUCUGAAUGCAGCUGAGCCACAUGGCUGGGGUGCUCUGGCCUGGGCUUUCAGAAUUACCCCGGCUGGGCUCCUCCCCAGGACGGUGUUUCCUCUAUCUGGGGGCUGGCACACUGCACACCACAUGGGUGAUCCAUGUAAGGGCAGCAGCCCCCAGAUAAACAGGUUAGUCUGCAGGUAAGAGUUAAACUCUGUAUGUCCCCAAAGCCAAAAUCUCCCAACAGCCCUCAAUCCCUUUCUUACUCUAUAUGUGUUAAAAUGGAUCUCUGGCUCUGUUUCUACCUCCAUGCUGAGGCUUUGGGUAGAGACAGACAACCCAUAGAAUAGGAGAAAAUAUUUGCAAAUCAGACUUCUGAUCAGGAAUAGCAUCUAGAACACUAGAACAUAUAAAGGAUGUUAGCAAGUCGACAAUAAAAAGACAAAUAAUACAAUUUUAAUAUGGGCAAGGGAUUUUUUUUUUUUUUUUUUUUUUUUUUUUUUAGAGACGGAGUCUCGCUCUGUUGCCAGGCUGGAGUGCAGUGGCGUGAUCUCGGUUCACUGUAACCUCCACCUCCUGGGUUCAAGCGAUUCUCCUGCCUCAGCCUCCUGCGUAGCUGGGAGUACAGGCGCCUGCCACCACGCCCGGCUAAUUUUUUUGUAUUUUUUUUGUAGAGA